GUGAGGAAUAUUGGACAAUGGAGGAAACUCUGAUCCAGCCAUGCCGCGUGAGUGAUGAAGGCCUUCGGGUUGUAAAGCUCUUUCGGGUGUGAAAAUGAUGAUGGUAACACCAGAAGAAGCCCCGGCUAACUCCGUGCCAGCAGCCGCGGUAAUACGGAGGGGGCGAGCGUUGUUCGGAAUCACUGGGCGUAAAGCGUGCGUAGGCGGUUAUACAAGUCAGGAGUGAAAUCCCAGGGCUCAACCUUGGAAUUGCUUUUGAGACUGUAUGACUAGAGAUCUAGAGAGGUUGGGGGAAUUCCGAGUGUAGAGGUGAAAUUCGCAGAUAUUCGGAGGAACACCAGUGGCGUAGGCGCCCAACUGACUAGAUACUGACGCUGAGGCACGAAAGCGUGGGGAGCAAACAGGAUUAGAAACCCGAGUAGUCC
RNAcentral lists this ribosomal RNA (425 nucleotides) under uncultured bacterium. RNAcentral describes it as "partial 16S ribosomal RNA". It matches the Rfam family "Bacterial small subunit ribosomal RNA", at positions 354 to 796 of the family's 1533-position model. The record is from RNAcentral.